RNAcentral lists this ribosomal RNA (232 nucleotides) under uncultured bacterium. RNAcentral describes it as "partial 16S ribosomal RNA". It matches the Rfam family "Bacterial small subunit ribosomal RNA", at positions 99 to 334 of the family's 1533-position model. The record is from RNAcentral.
CGGACGGGUGAGUAAUGUCUGGGAAACUGCCUGAUGGAGGGGGGUAACUACUGGAAACGGUAGCUAAUACCGCAUAACGUCGCAAGACCAAAGAGGGGGACCUUAGGGCCUCUUGCCAUCGGAUGUGCCCAGAUGGGAUUAGCUAGUAGGUGGGGUAACGGCUCACCUAGGCGACGAUCCCUAGCUGGUCUGAGAGGAUGACCAGCCACACUGGAACUAAGACACGGUCCAG